GGUGACUUACACUCCAUGCAAAUAAGGUUUACCUGCUAUAUUUUCAAAUCUAAGAAAUGAUGGGCUUCCUCGAAGAGAGUCACAUGAUUACUAAACAAACAAUCUCAUCUCUGGAAAGCUUGUGUGCUUUUCUCCACCGUUGGACACUGUUUUAGAUACUAUGAACCAGCAGGGUCUUUGCCUAAUCACAUUAGCCAUCUUGCUGGCAUCUCUCCCAGUUGUUCAGAGCAAGAAGAUUCUUGUCUUUUCUGUGGAUGGCAGUCACUGGGUCAACAUGAACAUCUUGGUUGAAGCUCUUCAUGCCAAAGGUCACAAUAUUACAGUCAUGCGGAUGACAAAUAGCUGGUACAUCAAAGAGUUCUCACCUCACUACACUUCAAUCACUCUAAAGUCUGCAGGAGGAUUUGAUGAAGACUUCUUCACAGUCUACUGUGAAACUACUGGGUAUUCUGAGGGAAGGUUCGAUCUGGACUCAUCUGAAGGUGAAGAUAGAGAUGUGGCAAAGUUUUUCAGGAAUGGUUGAAGUUGAAAACAAAAUGAUAGUCAACAUGUUUGAAGACCAUCAGCAGAUGUAGUCCUUAAAAUAUGCCAAAUUUGAUAUGAUUCUAACAGAUCCGUUUAUAGUCGCAGGGGUGCUCUUUUGGGUCACCAUCUUAAACUUCCUAUUGUCUACAAUGCUCGCUGGACAGUUUACUUUGAAGCUCAUUUUGCAAUAGCUCCUUCUCCACUUUCUUAUGUUCCUGUGCCACUGCUGGAGUUAUCAGAUCGCAUGAGUUUCUUGGAAAGAGUGAGAAAUUUUGUGAUGUACAUCAUACCAGAAAUACAGGCAGCUAUCAUGAAUUCUCCAUCUUAUGAUGCACUCUCCGAACUGUUCAUUGGUCCAGGAAAAUCCUAUCUUUCUUUAAUUCAGGGAGCUGAUCUGUGGCUCCAUAGAACUGAUUUUGUGUUUGAAUAUCCACGUCCCACUAUGCCAAACAUCGUCUAUAUUGGAGGUUUUCAAUGCAAGCCAUCAAAGCCUCUCCCACAAGAUCUGGAGAACUUUGUUCAGAGCUCUGGAGAUCAUGGUGUCAUCAUCAUGUCUCAUUGGUCAGCUUCCUGAUGAUGUGGCCGAGGCAAUUGCUGAAGCUUUCGCAGAACUUCCACAGAAGAUCAUCUGGAGGUACAAAGGAAAGAGACCGUCUGCGCUAGGAAACAACACCUUAGUGAUGGACUGGAUGCCUCAUGGUCAUCCCAAGACCAGAGCCUUCGUGGCACAUGGAGGAACUAAUGGAGUUCAAGAAGCCAUCUACCACGGGGUGCCAAUCAUCGCAUUUGGCCUGAAUUUUGACCAACCAACCUGACAAUCUUGAAAAAAUGAGAGUGAGAGGUGCAGCCAAGAAUGUAGACUUUGCCACAAUGGAUAAGGAGUCUUUCCUUAAAACGGUCAAAGAGGUACUCUAUGAUCCCUCUUAUCGGGAGAACAUGCAGAGACUCUCAAGGCUUCACAAGGAUGUUCCAGUGAAGCCUCUGGACAACGCCAUCUUCUGGAUUGAGUUUGUUAUGAGACACAAAGGUGCCGCUCACUUGCGCACAGAGUCGAACAAAAUGCCCUGGUACUCUUAUCACUCUGUUGAUGUUAUUCUGGUGCUGAUUUCUGCUGUGUCACUCAUAAUCCUGACCAUAUAUGCAGUUAUCAGAUAUUUCUGCUGCAGAAUUUGCAUGAGAAAAACAAAAGCCAAGCGACAGUAAUGAAAAUGUAAAAUGUUUACUUGUUUUAAUACUAUUUGGUACCUAUAAAAAGAUGCUUGGGGAAAUAUUUUGG
This is a non-coding RNA of Danio rerio (zebrafish), 1801 nucleotides long. The record is from RefSeq. NCBI's taxonomy places the organism in Eukaryota, Metazoa, Chordata, Actinopteri, Cypriniformes, Danionidae.